This 247-nucleotide ribosomal RNA is filed under the name uncultured bacterium. RNAcentral's name for it is "partial 16S ribosomal RNA". It matches the Rfam family "Bacterial small subunit ribosomal RNA", at positions 530 to 776 of the family's 1533-position model. The record is from RNAcentral.
GGGGGCAAGCGUUGUCCGGAAUUACUGGGCGUAAAGGGCUCGUAGGUGGCCAACUAAGUCGGACGUGAAAUCCCUCGGCUUAACCGGGGAACUGCGUCCGAUACUGGUUGGCUUGAGUUUGGGAGAGGGAUGCGGAAUUCCAGGUGUAGCGGUGAAAUGCGUAGAUAUCUGGAGGAACACCGAUGGCGAAGGCGGCAGCCUGGACCAAUACUGACGCUGAGGAGCGAAAGCCAGGGGAGCAAACGGG